RNAcentral lists this ribosomal RNA (443 nucleotides) under uncultured bacterium. Its description in RNAcentral is "partial 16S ribosomal RNA". It matches the Rfam family "Bacterial small subunit ribosomal RNA", at positions 338 to 795 of the family's 1533-position model. The record is from RNAcentral.
CCUACGGGAGACAGCAGUGGGGAAUAUUGGGCAAUGGAGGCAACUCUGACCCAGCAACGCCGCGUGAAUGAUGAAGGUCUUCGGAUUGUAAAGUUCUGUGAUGGGGGAUGAACACAAUGACGGUACCCCAAUAGCAAGCCACGGCUAACUACGUGCCAGCAGCCGCGGUAAUACGUAGGUGGCAAGCGUUAUCCGGAAUGACUGGGCGUAAAGGGUGCGUAGGUGGUCUAGUAAGUUGGCGGUGUAAUUCCGGGGCUCAACCUCGGCGCUACCGCCAAAACUAUUAGACUAGAGUGCAGGGGGGGUAAGUGGAAUGCCUAGUGUAGCGGUGGAAUGCGUAGAUAUUAGGAGGAACAUCAGGGGCGAAGGCGACUUACUGGACUGUAACUGACACUGAGGCACGAAAGCGUGGGGAGCAAACAGGAUUAGAUACCCCAGUAGUC